GGUUAAGUGACUAAGCGUAUAUGGUGGAUGCCUUGGCAGUCAGAGGCGAUGAAGGACGUAGUAACUUGCGAAAAGCGUUGGCGA
RNAcentral lists this ribosomal RNA (84 nucleotides) under Shewanella pneumatophori. RNAcentral's name for it is "partial 23S ribosomal RNA". It matches the Rfam family "Bacterial large subunit ribosomal RNA", at positions 1 to 84 of the family's 2925-position model. Lineage: Bacteria; Pseudomonadati; Pseudomonadota; Gammaproteobacteria; Alteromonadales; Shewanellaceae. The record is from RNAcentral.